CCCAGUAGGAAUACGAUCUUGUUGGGGGUAAAGAAUUUCAGGAACACGUUGUCCGCUUUAAAAACGAAACCAACAGGACGAAAACGAACCGUGAGAACGCCUGAAAAACGCCUGAGUAGCUGUUACACGGUCUCCACGA
This is a long non-coding RNA of Nilaparvata lugens (brown planthopper), 139 nucleotides long. RefSeq lists it as uncharacterized. The transcript is spliced from 3 exons. The record is from RefSeq and is a predicted model, not a curated record. Lineage: Eukaryota; Metazoa; Arthropoda; Insecta; Hemiptera; Delphacidae.